This 253-nucleotide ribosomal RNA is filed under the name uncultured bacterium. RNAcentral's name for it is "partial 16S ribosomal RNA". It matches the Rfam family "Bacterial small subunit ribosomal RNA", at positions 524 to 776 of the family's 1533-position model. The record is from RNAcentral.
UACGUAGGGGGCAAGCGUUGUCCGGAUUUAUUGGGCGUAAAGAGCGUGUAGGCGGUUAGGUAGGUCCGUUGUGAAAACUCGAGGCUCAACCUCGAGACGCCGAUGGAAACCAUCUAACUAGAGUCCGGAAGAGGAGAAUGGAAUUCCUGGUGUAGCGGUGAAAUGCGCAGAUAUCAGGAAGAACACCCGUGGCUAAGGCGGUUCUCUAGUACGGUACUGACGCUGAGACGCGAAAGCGUGGGGAGCGAACAGG